Molecule: long non-coding RNA, 630 nt
Filed under: Sus scrofa (pig)
Lineage: Eukaryota; Metazoa; Chordata; Mammalia; Artiodactyla; Suidae
Description: lncRNA (ENSSSCG00030057208.1)
Source: RNAcentral
AUGGCAGAAUCCUCUGGCUUCCCCCACCCCCACCCCCAGACCAGGAGGGCUCUUAAGUGGCUCCCUCCUACCCUCUGGGUGCAGAAGGGUGGGUGUUCAGUUUUUAAGUCGUUUUACCUAGGAGGGACGCCGGUCUCUUGGGAGGAGAAACAGGCCAUCCCUUCUGCAGCGGCUCCUGUCGGCUCCCUGGCUGCCUGGGUGGAGACAGCUGAGCCUCUGCCCCGACAGGCUUCAACAAUCCGGGGCAAUAAUAAGAAAAUAUCCAGGGCACACCUUCGUCUCUCGAGGUGAGAAAUGACCGUCUCCAUCAAUCGUCGCUUUUCCUGGAUCUCCUCAUAGACAGGUAGACGCCUCUCCCCGACCUGGGUCAUCCAUUCAUCCACAUUCAAUGUGGAUGCAAUCCCCCCCCUCCUCCCUCCCUCCUUUCCUUCCUUUUUCCUGCUCUCCUUUCCUCUAUCAUAGAUGCCAAUGCAUCCAGCAGCAACCUCCCGGUCACCACUUUUUUCAACUUAUUUAACCCCCCCCCGAAAAAAAAAAAAAAAAAACGGUUCGUCUAUUUCUCCUACCUCCCACCCCACCCCUGCAACCACCAAUCUAUUCUCCCCAUCUAUCAGCCGGAUAUUUAUUUAU